CUUUUCUUCCUCUCUUUUAGUCAAACAUCCCUCAAUGCCUUGGUCUCUUCUACAACCUCCCAUUUCUGCUAGACACUUUGAGAGACAGAAACCCAUUAUUUCCAGAGAUCACAAUGGUGCUUUUAGAUGACCUAGCAUGCAGACAGGUCUUCCUUACAGCAUGAAGCACCUUCCCUCCCUGCAGUUCCUGUCUAUCUAUUCUCCAUUCCACCCCUGAAUGACACUCACCCACAAUACAGCAUUCUAGUUCUUCCAAGGCCUUUGGUAAAGAAGGUAGACAAGACAAAGCUUGUUCUGUAUGACCUGCAGAAUGACGAGUGUCUGUGGGCUAAAUUACAAAAGAUAUCAACAGGUUCCCUGGGCCAGGAAAUGAAGUACCUUCACCCGCACACCUGCCUAGGUUGAUCUCAUGAAUUGAAGAAAAGAAAAGAAUUCUCAUCAAUAGGUAUUUCCAGAAGCAAUUCUUAGAUGCUUAAAGGGGGG
This 483-nucleotide long non-coding RNA is filed under the name Marmota monax (woodchuck). The record is from RNAcentral. Lineage: Eukaryota; Metazoa; Chordata; Mammalia; Rodentia; Sciuridae.